RNAcentral lists this ribosomal RNA (465 nucleotides) under Vreelandella stevensii. Its description in RNAcentral is "partial 16S ribosomal RNA". It matches the Rfam family "Bacterial small subunit ribosomal RNA", at positions 338 to 795 of the family's 1533-position model. The record is from RNAcentral. Lineage: Bacteria; Pseudomonadati; Pseudomonadota; Gammaproteobacteria; Oceanospirillales; Halomonadaceae.
CCUACGGGUGGCAGCAGUGGGGAAUAUUGGACAAUGGGGGCAACCCUGAUCCAGCCAUGCCGCGUGUGUGAAGAAGGCCCUCGGGUUGUAAAGCACUUUCAGUGAGGAAGAACGCCUGGUGGUUAAUACCCAUCAGGAAAGACAUCACUCACAGAAGAAGCACCGGCUAACUCCGUGCCAGCAGCCGCGGUAAUACGGAGGGUGCGAGCGUUAAUCGGAAUUACUGGGCGUAAAGCGCGCGUAGGUGGCUUGAUAAGCCGGUUGUGAAAGCCCCGGGCUCAACCUGGGAACGGCAUCCGGAACUGUCAAGCUAGAGUGCAGGAGAGGAAGGUAGAAUUCCCGGUGUAGCGGUGAAAUGCGUAGAGAUCGGGAGGAAUAACAGUGGCGAAGGCGGCCUUCUGGACUGACACUGACACUGAGGUGCGAAAGCGUGGGUAGCAAACAGGAUUAGAUACCCCAGUAGUC